RNAcentral lists this ribosomal RNA (253 nucleotides) under uncultured bacterium. Its description in RNAcentral is "partial 16S ribosomal RNA". It matches the Rfam family "Bacterial small subunit ribosomal RNA", at positions 524 to 776 of the family's 1533-position model. The record is from RNAcentral.
GACAGAGGGUGCAAACGUUGUUCGGAAUUACUGGGCGUAAAGCGCGUGUAGGCGGCAGCGUGUGUCGGGCGUGAAAUCCCACGGCUCAACCGUGGAAGUGCACUCGAAACUGCAGGGCUAGAGUCCUGGAGAGGAAGGUGGAAUGCUUGGUGUAGAGGUGAAAUUCGUAGAUAUCAAGCGGAACACCGGUGGCGAAGGCGGCCUUCUGGACAGUGACUGACGCUGAGACGCGAAAGCGUGGGGAGCAAACAGG